GUUGACCUCGAAUCAGGUAGGACUACCCGCUGAACUUAAGCAUAUCAA
This 48-nucleotide ribosomal RNA is filed under the name Metarhizium anisopliae. RNAcentral describes it as "partial 28S ribosomal RNA". The record is from RNAcentral. Lineage: Eukaryota; Fungi; Ascomycota; Sordariomycetes; Hypocreales; Clavicipitaceae. RNAcentral also lists the same sequence under 3 other names.